AUGCAGUCGAACGCGAAAGUUCCCUUCGGGGAGCGAGUAGAGUGGCGCACGGGUGAGUAACACGUAGGUAAUCUACCUUUGGAUUGGGAAUAACAACCGGAAACGGUUGCUAAUACCGAAUAAUGCAGCGGCACCUAAUGGUGACAGUUGUUAAAGCGGGGGAUCGCAAGACCUCGCGUCUAAAGAGGAGCCUGCGGCGGAUUAGCUAGUUGGUAAGGUAAUGGCUUACCAAGGCUAUGAUCCGUAGCCGGCCUGAGAGGGCGGUCGGCCACACUGACACUGACAUACGGGUCAGACUCCUACGGGAGGCAGCAGUCGGGAAUUUUGGGCAAUGGGCGAAAGCCUGACCCAGCAACGCCGCGUGAAGGAUGAAAUCCUUCGGGAUGUAAACUUCGCAAGAACGGGAAGAAUAAGUAAGAGCUAACAUCUCUUAUGAUGACGGUACUUUUUGUAAGCUCCGGCUAACUCCGUGCCAGCAGCCGCGGUAAUACGGGGGGAGCAAGCGUUGUUCGGAUUUACUGGGCGUAAAGGGCGCGUAGGCGGCCACCGCAAGUCGAUUGUGAAAUCUCCGGGCUUAACCCGGAAAGGUCAACCGAUACUGCGGGGCUAGAGUGCAGAAGGGGCAACUGGAAUUCUCGGUGUAGCGGUGAAAUGCGUAGAUUUCGAGAGGAACACCUGCGGCGAAGGCGGGUUGCUGGGCUGACACUGACGCUGAAGUGCGAAAGCUAGGGGAGCGAACGGGAUUAGAUACCCCGGUAGUCCUAGCCUUAAACGAUGAAUGCUUGGUGUCUGGGGUUUUAUAGUCCCCGGGUGCCGUCGCUAACGCUUUAAGCAUUCCGCCUGGGGAGUACGGUCGCAAGACUGAAACUCAAAGGAAUUGACGGGGACCGCACAAGCGGUGGAGCAUGUG
This 910-nucleotide ribosomal RNA is filed under the name uncultured Bacillota bacterium. RNAcentral describes it as "bacterial SSU rRNA". It matches the Rfam family "Bacterial small subunit ribosomal RNA", at positions 55 to 943 of the family's 1533-position model. Lineage: Bacteria; Bacillati; Bacillota. The record is from RNAcentral.